This 465-nucleotide ribosomal RNA is filed under the name uncultured bacterium. RNAcentral's name for it is "partial 16S ribosomal RNA". It matches the Rfam family "Bacterial small subunit ribosomal RNA", at positions 28 to 507 of the family's 1533-position model. The record is from RNAcentral.
GACGAACGCUGGCGGCGUGCUUAACACAUGCAAGUCGAACGGAAAGGCCCUGCUUGCAGGGUACUCGAGUGGCGAACGGGUGAGUAACACGUGGGUGAUCUGCCCUGCACUUCGGGAUAAGCCUGGGAAACUGGGUCUAAUACCGGAUAGGAGCCAUUUUUAGUGUGAUGGUUGGAAAGUUUUUUCGGUGUAGGAUGAGCUCGCGGCCUAUCAGCUUGUUGGUGGGGUAAUGGCCUACCAAGGCGGCGGCGGGUAGCCGGCCUGAGAGGGUGGACGGCCACAUUGGGACUGAGAUACGGCCGAGGCUCCGACGGGAGGCAGCAGGGGGGAAGAUUGCACAAUGGGCGCAAGCCUGAUGCAGCGACGCCGCGGGGGGGAUGACGGCCUUCGGGUUGUAAACUCCUUUCGCUAGGGACGAAGCUUUUUGUGACGGUACCUAGAUAAGAAGCACCGGCUAACUACGUG